UGUGCUUAAGUUUAAAACGUUUUCUCUCUUUUUUUGUUUCUCUCCCCCUUUUUAUCAUUGUUUCUUUUGACUUUAUCUUUGUUUCUCUCCCCCUUUUUGAAUUUAUCUUUGUUUUUUUUGACUUUAUCUUUGUUUCUCCCCCCUUUGUCAUCAAUGACCACAAAUGUUCAACUUUUAGUGAGAAUAAAGUCAAUCAAAGUGAGGGUCAAAUUAUGGUUCAAUCUAGAUCACUUGCCUAUACCAUGUAAUUUGAUUUGAUCCAAGGACAAGCUUUUUCACACCUCAUAAAGUAUAAGGGUUAUCUUGACCAUGUUGAAUUACACAUCAUAAGCUCAUAUUCUAGAUUCAACACUAGGCUUGC
This 361-nucleotide long non-coding RNA is filed under the name Sorghum bicolor (sorghum). RNAcentral describes it as "long non-coding RNA (SBIC_LNC010951)". The record is from RNAcentral. Lineage: Eukaryota; Viridiplantae; Streptophyta; Magnoliopsida; Poales; Poaceae.